RNAcentral lists this small RNA (1044 nucleotides) under uncultured fungus. Its description in RNAcentral is "eukaryotic LSU rRNA". The stretch from base 612 to 1044 matches the Rfam family "Eukaryotic large subunit ribosomal RNA", at positions 1 to 429 of the family's 3401-position model. Lineage: Eukaryota; Fungi. The record is from RNAcentral.
UCCGUAGGUGAACCUGCGGAAGGAUCAUUCAUAAUCAAGUGUUUUUAUGGCACUUUCAAAAAUCCAUAUCCACCUUGUGUGCAAUGUCAUCUCACUGGAGGUCAACGGCUGUAAAAAUCCGUUGGUCACCUUUGGGAUUUAUAUCUACUCAGAACUUUAGUGAUUUUGUCUGAAACAUAUUAUGAAUACUUAAUUCAAAAUACAACUUUCAACAACGGAUCUCUUGGCUCUCGCAUCGAUGAAGAACGCAGCGAAAUGCGAUACGUAAUGUGAAUUGCAGAAUUCAGUGAAUCAUCGAAUCUUUGAACGCAUAUUGCGCUCUCUGGUAUUCCGGAGAGCAUGCUUGUUUGAGUAUCAGUAAACACCUCAACUCCCCUUUCUUUUUUGAAAUGGGAGCUGGACUUGAGUGAUCCCAACGCUUUUCUCACCGAAAAGUGGCGGGUUACUUGAAAUGCAGGUGCAGCUGGACUUUUCUCUGAGCUAAAAGCAUAUCUAUUUAGUCUGCCUAAAAAACAGAUUAUUACCUUUGCUGCAGCUAACAUAAAGGAGAUUAGUUCUUGUGCUGACUGAUGCAGGAUUCACAGAGACAGCUUCGGCUAGCUUUGUAAACUCGAUCUCAAAUCAAGUAAGACUACCCGCUGAACUUAAGCAUAUCAAUAAGCGGAGGAAAAGAAACUAACAAGGAUUCCCCUAGUAACGGCGAGUGAAGCGGGAUGAGCUCAAAUUUAAAAUCUGGCUGGUUUACUAGUCCGAAUUGUAGUUUAAAGAAGCGUUUUCGGUGGCAGCCUGGGUAUAAAUCCUUUGGAACAGGGUAUCAUAGGGGGUGAGAAUCCCGUCUUUGACUCAGUGCAUGCUACUAUGUGAUACGUUUUCAAAGAGUCGAGUUGUUUGGGAAUGCAGCUCAAAAUGGGUGGUAAAUUUCAUCUAAAGCUAAAUAUUGGCGAGAGACCGAUAGCGAACAAGUACCGUGAGGGAAAGAUGAAAAGAACUUUGAAAAGAGAGUUAAACAGUGCGUGAAAUUGUUGAAAGGGAAACGCUUGAAGU